Molecule: small RNA, 560 nt
Filed under: Pan troglodytes (chimpanzee)
Lineage: Eukaryota; Metazoa; Chordata; Mammalia; Primates; Hominidae
Description: retained intron
Source: RNAcentral
UUUAAUAAAGUUAAGCAGACUCUUAACUUUUCCUCAGAAGUUAGCAUGAUUUAGUGAUUUAACACAUUUUUUAACAUUCUAUUCUUUAAAACGUAGUGAAGGAUAAUAAAUAUUUACAUUUAAUUGGGAAGGCUAUUUUGGUAGGCAAAAUAGACUUCCUUUGCCAAACAAUAAUGAUUGUACUAACCUCAUUUUCCAUUCCUAUUUAGGUCAUGUAUGGAAUGUUGGUCUUUACAUUAGUACUUCGAUCUAUUUAUAUUGUUACAUGGGUUUAUCCAUGGCUUAGAGGACUGGGUUAUACAUCACUGGGUAUAUUUUUGUUGGGAUUUUUAUUUUGGAAUAUAGAUAACAUAUUUUGUGAGUCACUGAGGAACUUUCGAAAGAAGGUACCACCUAUCAUAGGUAUUACCACACAAUUUCAUGCAUGGUGGCAUAUUUUAACUGGCCUUGGUUCCUAUCUUCACAUCCUUUUCAGUUUGUAUACAAGAACACUUUACCUGAGAUAUAGGCCAAAAGUGAAGUUUCUCUUUGGAAUCUGGCCAGUGAUCCUGUUUGAGCCU